UCAUGGCCCUGGCUCAGGCA
RNAcentral lists this unclassified non-coding RNA (20 nucleotides) under Mus musculus (house mouse). Its description in RNAcentral is "oocyte_clustered_small_RNA9510". Lineage: Eukaryota; Metazoa; Chordata; Mammalia; Rodentia; Muridae. The record is from RNAcentral.